AGAGUUUGAUCCUGGCUCAGGAUGAACGCUGGCGGCAUGCCUAAUACAUGCAAGUCGAACGAAGUUUCGAGGAAGCUUGCUUCCAAAGAGACUUAGUGGCGAACGGGUGAGUAACACGUAGGUAACCUGCCCAUGUGUCCGGGAUAACUGCUGGAAACGGUAGCUAAAACCGGAUAGGUAUACAGAGCGCAUGCUCAGUAUAUUAAAGCGCCCAUCAAGGCGUGAACAUGGAUGGACCUGCGGCGCAUUAGCUAGUUGGUGAGGUAACGGCCCACCAAGGCGAUGAUGCGUAGCCGACCUGAGAGGGUGACCGGCCACAUUGGGACUGAGACACGGCCCAAACUCCUACGGGAGGCAGCAGUAGGGAAUUUUCGUCAAUGGGGGAAACCCUGAACGAGCAAUGCCGCGUGAGUGAAGAAGGUCUUCGGAUCGUAAAGCUCUGUUGUAAGUGAAGAACGGCUCAUAGAGGAAAUGCUAUGGGAGUGACGGUAGCUUACCAGAAAGCCACGGCUAACUACGUGCCAGCAGCCGCGGUAAUACGUAGGUGGCAAGCGUUAUCCGGAAUCAUUGGGCGUAAAGGGUGCGUAGGUGGCGUACUAAGUCUGUAGUAAAAGGCAAUGGCUCAACCAUUGUAAGCUAUGGAAACUGGUAUGCUGGAGUGCAGAAGAGGGCGAUGGAAUUCCAUGUGUAGCGGUAAAAUGCGUAGAUAUAUGGAGGAACACCAGUGGCGAAGGCGGUCGCCUGGUCUGUAACUGACACUGAGGCACGAAAGCGUGGGGAGCAAAUAGGAUUAGAUACCCUAGUAGUCCACGCCGUAAACGAUGAGAACUAAGUGUUGGAGGAAUUCAGUGCUGCAGUUAACGCAAUAAGUUCUCCGCCUGGGGAGUAUGCACGCAAGUGUGAAACUCAAAGGAAUUGACGGGGGCCCGCACAAGCGGUGGAG
RNAcentral lists this ribosomal RNA (943 nucleotides) under human gut metagenome. Its description in RNAcentral is "bacterial SSU rRNA". It matches the Rfam family "Bacterial small subunit ribosomal RNA", at positions 8 to 937 of the family's 1533-position model. The record is from RNAcentral.